AUCCAGAUGAUGAGUCCUAAACAGAAUGAGACGUGAGUCCAGGAU
Non-coding RNA from Schistosoma mattheei, 45 nucleotides. Lineage: Eukaryota; Metazoa; Platyhelminthes; Trematoda; Strigeidida; Schistosomatidae. The record is from Rfam.